This 74-nucleotide transfer RNA is filed under the name Staphylococcus aureus. RNAcentral describes it as "tRNA-Pro(tgg)". It matches the Rfam family "tRNA". Rfam says of the family: Transfer RNA (tRNA) molecules are approximately 80 nucleotides in length. Their secondary structure includes four short double-helical elements and three loops (D, anti-codon, and T loops). The record is from RNAcentral. Lineage: Bacteria; Bacillati; Bacillota; Bacilli; Caryophanales; Staphylococcaceae.
UGGGGGCUUAGCUCAGCUGGUAGAGCACUUGGUUUGGGACCAAGGGGUCGCAGGUUCGAAUCCUGUCUUCCCGA